Molecule: non-coding RNA, 521 nt
Organism: Peromyscus maniculatus bairdii (prairie deer mouse)
Lineage: Eukaryota; Metazoa; Chordata; Mammalia; Rodentia; Cricetidae
Source: RefSeq, a predicted model, not a curated record
CAAAGCAUUCCCAGCACCGCAGAAGGACCAAUUCUCUUACAGUGCUAAUGUAAUCCUCGAGUAAAUCAUGCUGAUCAUACACAAGCAAUCUGACAAAAGGUCCACUUAAAGUGACAUAAGAAAGAGACAGGUAACCAGUGCUGGUGAUGGACCUCCCCUAUUACAACAGGGGGUCAGAGUUCUCAGAGUGUGAUCCAGAAUGGCUGGACAGCCACCUUGGCAAUUCUGGUUCUUUGAUUAUUUUAAGGGAAGAUCUGGAUUUCCUGGACUUUCGCCCAGUGUGAUGAUGUCUCCUUUAGAAGUGGCGUCUAAUGGUUCACACACAGCUCCAGAGACAGCUGAACACCGUUAUGACAGCAUAUCCUUUUUCACUCAUCAAGUGCCCAUUUGUGUUCAUGGUCUUCAUUAUGCCGUGAGGUCUUAUAUGGUACAAAAACAGGAUUUUUUUUAAAGAAUUCCAUUCCUGGGUCAUCAAAUGAGAAUCCUUCUUGCUCACUCCAAAUUAAAUGGAGAAUACAUUU